UAAGACGAACCGUGCGAACGUUGUUCGGAAUCACUGGGCUUAAAGGGCGCGUAGGCGGCUUGCCAAGUCAGGGGUGAAAUCCUGCAGCUCAACUGUAGAAGUGCCUUUGAUACUGGCGAGCUCGAGGGAGGUAGGGGUGGGUGGAACUUCUGGUGGAGCGGUGAAAUGCGUUGAUAUCAGAAGGAACGCCGGUGGCGAAAGCGACCCACUGGAUCUCUACUGACGCUGAGGCGCGAAAGCCAGGGGAGCAAACGGGAUUAGAUACCCCGGUAGUCCUGGCCCUAAACGAUGGGUACUAGAUUGCAGACUGGUCAUGGGUUUGCAGUCGAAGCAAAAGUGUUAAGUACCCCGCCUGGGGAGUAUGGUCGCAAGGCUG
This 376-nucleotide ribosomal RNA is filed under the name uncultured bacterium. Its description in RNAcentral is "bacterial SSU rRNA". It matches the Rfam family "Bacterial small subunit ribosomal RNA", at positions 521 to 896 of the family's 1533-position model. The record is from RNAcentral.